AUUGAACGCUGGCGGCAGGCCUAACACAUGCAAGUCGAGCGGUAGCACAGAGAGCUUGCUCUCGGGUGACGAGCGGCGGACGGGUGAGUAAUGUCUGGGAAACUGCCUGAUGGAGGGGGAUAACUACCGGAAACGGUAGCUAAUAACGCAUAACGUCGCAAGACCAAAGAGGGGGACCUUCGGGACUCUUGCCAUCAGAUGUGCCCAGAUGGGAUUAGCUAGUAGGUGGGGUAACGGCUCACCUAGGCGACGAUCCCUAGCUGGUCUGAGAGGAUGACCAGCCACACUGGAACUGAGACACGGUCCAGACUCCUACGGGAGGCAGCAGUGGGGAAUAUUGCACAAUGGGCGCAAGCCUGAUGCAGCCAUGCCGCGUGUAUGAAGAAGGCCUUCGGGUUGUAAAGUACUUUCAGCGGGGAGGAAGGUGUUGAGGUUAAUCACCUCAGCAAUUGACGUUACCCGCAGAAGAAGCACCGGCUAACUCCGUGCCAGCAGCCGCCGUAA
This 504-nucleotide ribosomal RNA is filed under the name uncultured bacterium. RNAcentral's name for it is "partial 16S ribosomal RNA". It matches the Rfam family "Bacterial small subunit ribosomal RNA", at positions 30 to 523 of the family's 1533-position model. The record is from RNAcentral.